RNAcentral lists this ribosomal RNA (307 nucleotides) under uncultured bacterium. RNAcentral describes it as "partial 16S ribosomal RNA". It matches the Rfam family "Bacterial small subunit ribosomal RNA", at positions 506 to 809 of the family's 1533-position model. The record is from RNAcentral.
AGACAGCAGUCGCCGCGGUAAUACGUAGGUGGCAAGCGUUGUCCGGAAUUAUUGGGCGUAAAGCGCGCGCAGGCGGAUAGGUCAGUCUGUCUUAAAAGUUCGGGGCUUAACCCCGUGAUGGGAUGGAAACUGCCAAUCUAGAGUAUCGGAGAGGAAAGUGGAACUCCCAGUGUAGCGGUGAAAUGCGUAGAUAUUAGGAAGAACACCAGUGGCGAAGGCGACUUUCUGGACGAAAACUGACGCUGAGGCGCGAAAGCCAGGGGAGCGAACGGGAUUAGAUACCCGAGUAGUCCCUGUCUCUUAUACA